AUGGUCUCUUGCGGUCGUACUGCCGUGAACAUCAAUGGGGAGAUCGGGCCCUACUUCCCCACCUCCUGUGGGGUAAGGCAAGGUGAUCCCUUCUCCCCCUUCUUGUUCAAUAUGGUGGUGGACGCGCUUGCCGCCAUUCUAGAUAAGGCUAAGGCUGCUGGCCAUAUUCAGGGAAUCACUCCCCACCUGGAUGGCAGCUCCAGGAUCUCCCUCCUCCAGUAUGCCGACGACACCAUUAUCAUGGUCAAAGGCUCGGAGUCGGAUGUCGCCAACCUUAAGUUCCUCCUCCUCUGCUUCCAACAAAUGUCUGGCCUUAAGAUAAACUUCGACAAGAGUGAUGUGAUGGUGAUGGGCUACUCUCCGGCCGAGUCGCUUGCCAUUGCCAACCGGCUCAACUGCCGCCUCGGCGCCUUUCCCACAACAUACCUGGGAACACCCAUUAGCGACUCUCGGCUUACCAUCGCGGACCUGCGCCCGACCGUAACCAAACACCAAACGCGCAUCGAACCCUGGAAGGGUAGAUGGCUGUCAAAGGUGGCUCGUACCAUUCUCAUUAACUCAUCCCUCUCCAGCCUCCUCCUGUUCCUUAUGAGCUUCUACAGCCUCCACGAGACCCUGCACCAUGAGAUUGCCAAAAUUCAGUCCCGCUUCUACUGGGCCGACGAUCAUAAUAAACAGAAAUACCACAUGGUGAGCUGGCCUGGCAUCUGGAAGCCUAGGGAUCAAGGAGGCAUCGGGAUCAUGUGCUCCAAACGCAUGAAUAUCACCCUCCUUUCCCGUUGGCUCUGGCGGAUUUCGCAGGGCCAGGGGGGGUCUCUGGCUUGA
RNAcentral lists this ribosomal RNA (825 nucleotides) under Triticum aestivum (bread wheat). Its description in RNAcentral is "partial small subunit ribosomal RNA". Lineage: Eukaryota; Viridiplantae; Streptophyta; Magnoliopsida; Poales; Poaceae. The record is from RNAcentral.